AGGGCAUGGAGGAAAGGUAAUUUGUUUAACAAAUAAAGUGCAGAAAUAGACAAAACAGGACCGUAAGCCAUUAAAGACCUUGCAGUUCUUGUGUUCAGAAGCUUCCCAGACCUGAAGAGCAUCGUGCGUUGAGUUUGAGGUGUAGAGACCUGCUGCUGCUCCUGACCUUCUGCAGGCUGGUGCUGGCUGACCUGCCCACUGCUGCGCUCUGCAGGGACAACGCUGGUGUCCUCACUGCUCCUCUGCUCCAGGACUGAACAGCCAAAGCCCAGCUCACCUUAUCAGAGCCAUCGUUUGUGAAGUUGCCUUGGAGCUGGUAGAGUUCUGGGUAGGUUUUUACUCAAAUACCAAUGAAGCUGUGCAGGUUUCUGGGGUUGUACUUCAGCCAGACUUCAGCAAUUGCAACAGGACAAUGUGCCAAACCAGCUGUAAGGCUGCCUAAUUACUGAAAGGAUGCUCCCUACCUGUUGUUCCAGCCAGCUCUGAUUGGUAUCUGUGAACUGGGAUUUCCCCUGGUGAGUCUGUGUUCAGGCUUGCUUAGUAUGAACGGAAGGUUGGAGAGAACAGGCAGAUGUCUGGCAAACUGCACAGUCCAGCAAGGGGACUUUUCUCUUACUACAGAAGCAAAUGAUGUUGAGCAGCCAGCAAGCUGUAAAUCAUAAUAUGGGUAAAAUAGCAGUGGGCAUAGACCAGUGCUAAUUCAUGAGCAUUAUUGUUCUUAUA
Numida meleagris (helmeted guineafowl) is the source of this 723-nucleotide long non-coding RNA. The record is from Ensembl. NCBI's taxonomy places the organism in Eukaryota, Metazoa, Chordata, Aves, Galliformes, Numididae.